CCACAAACUCAAUCUUCCUAUCAGGUGGCAUACCUGGCAACUCAGCUGGAAACACAUCACUAAACUCCCAUACCACCGAAAUGUCAUCGAUCCUAGAGAUAUCUCCAUCCCUCACAGUAAUACUAGCCAAGAAGGCUACACAACCUCUCCUGAUCAACUGCCUAGCUCGCGAAGAGCUAAUAGUCAUCGCAAAUAGCGAACCCUGCCAUCCUCUGUACAUUACCUCCUCCUACCCCGGUUCCCGAAAGAUCAUCGUUCGAUUCUUGCAAUCAAUA
This 275-nucleotide long non-coding RNA is filed under the name Ananas comosus (pineapple). RNAcentral's name for it is "long non-coding RNA (ACOM_LNC028118)". Lineage: Eukaryota; Viridiplantae; Streptophyta; Magnoliopsida; Poales; Bromeliaceae. The record is from RNAcentral.